UACGGGGGGUGCGAGCGUUGUCCGGAAUCACUGGGCGGAAAGGGCGCGUAGGUGGCCUGAUAAGGGUGUGGUGAAAGUCCGGGGCUCAACCCCGGAUCUGCCGUGCCGACUGUUAGGCUAGAGUACUGUAGGGGCAGGCGGAAUUCCGGGUGUAGCGGUGAAAUGCGCAGAUAUCAGGAGGAACACCAAUUGCGAAGGCAGCUCGCUGGAACGUUACUGACGCUGAGACGCGAAAGCGUGGGGAGCGAUCCGG
This 253-nucleotide ribosomal RNA is filed under the name uncultured bacterium. RNAcentral's name for it is "partial 16S ribosomal RNA". It matches the Rfam family "Bacterial small subunit ribosomal RNA", at positions 524 to 776 of the family's 1533-position model. The record is from RNAcentral.